GUGCCCGCCGGCGUACCAAAACUCUUUUGUAUUUUAGUGGCCUCUCUGAGAAAACAAGCAAAUAAGUUAAAACUUUCAACAACGGAUCUCUUGGUUCUGGCAUCGAUGAAGAACGCAGCGAAAUGCGAUAAGUAAUGUGAAUUGCAGAAUUCAGUGAAUCAUCGAAUCUUUGAACGCACAUUGCGCCCGCCAGUACUCUGGCGGGCAUGCCUGUUCGAGCGUCAUUUCAACCCUCAAGCCCUGCUUGGUGUUGGGGUCCUACGGCUGCCGUAGGCCCUGAAAGCUAGUGGCGGGCUCGCUAUAACUCCGAGCGUAGUAGUAAAAUAUCUCGCUAGGGAGGUGUCGCGGGUUCCGGCCGUGAAAGCCCAUCUUUUACACAAGGUUGACCUCGGAUCAGGUAGGAAUACCC
RNAcentral lists this ribosomal RNA (409 nucleotides) under Fimetariella rabenhorstii. RNAcentral's name for it is "eukaryotic LSU rRNA". The stretch from base 71 to 224 matches the Rfam family "5.8S ribosomal RNA". The record is from RNAcentral. Lineage: Eukaryota; Fungi; Ascomycota; Sordariomycetes; Sordariales; Lasiosphaeriaceae.